GCUGGGUGCAGUGGCGUACGCCUGUAAUCCCAGCAACUCUGGAGGCUGAGGCAGGAGGAUCACAGGUUCAAAGCCAGCCUCAGCAACUUAGCAAGGCUAUAAACAACCUAGAGAGACCCUGCCUCUA
RNAcentral lists this small RNA (127 nucleotides) under Marmota monax (woodchuck). The record is from RNAcentral. Lineage: Eukaryota; Metazoa; Chordata; Mammalia; Rodentia; Sciuridae.